UACGUAGGGUGCAAGCGUUAAUCGGAAUUACUGGGCGUAAAGCGCGCGCAGGCGGCUUGGUAAGUUGGGGGUGAAAUCCCUGGGCUCAACCCAGGAAUGGCCUUCAAGACUGCUUGGCUGGAGGACGAGAGAGGUGAGUGGAAUUCCCAGUGUAGAGGUGAAAUUCGUAGAUAUUCGGAAGAACACCAGUGGCGAAGGCGGCUCACUGGCCCGGUACUGACGCUGAGAUACGAAAGCGUGGGGAGCAAACAGG
RNAcentral lists this ribosomal RNA (253 nucleotides) under uncultured bacterium. Its description in RNAcentral is "partial 16S ribosomal RNA". It matches the Rfam family "Bacterial small subunit ribosomal RNA", at positions 524 to 776 of the family's 1533-position model. The record is from RNAcentral.